CCCUAGCCCAGAUGGAAACGGCAUCCUUUUUCUUUUUUUGUUUAAAAAGAAAAAGAUACAGUGAACAGCUGGAAGCAAC
This 79-nucleotide small RNA is filed under the name Flavobacterium limicola. RNAcentral describes it as "Flavo-1 RNA". It matches the Rfam family "Flavo-1 RNA". Lineage: Bacteria; Pseudomonadati; Bacteroidota; Flavobacteriia; Flavobacteriales; Flavobacteriaceae. The record is from RNAcentral.